RNAcentral lists this ribosomal RNA (265 nucleotides) under uncultured bacterium. RNAcentral describes it as "partial 16S ribosomal RNA". It matches the Rfam family "Bacterial small subunit ribosomal RNA", at positions 793 to 1055 of the family's 1533-position model. The record is from RNAcentral.
GUCCACGCCGUAAACGAUGGGCACUAGGUGUCGGGGGUAUCCACUCCCUCGGUGCCGCCGCUAACGCAUUAAGUGUCCAGCCUGGGAAGUACGGUCGCAAGAUUAAAACUCAAAGGAAUUGACGGGGGCCCGCACAAGCGGUGGAGCAUGUGGUUCAAUUCGAUGCAACGCGAAAACCUUACCUGGGUUUGACAUCUGGCGAAGACUCUUGAAAGAGAGUCGUGCCCGCAAGGGAACGCCAAGACAGGUGCUGCAUGGCUGUCGU